Molecule: ribosomal RNA, 301 nt
Filed under: uncultured bacterium
Lineage: Bacteria
Description: partial 16S ribosomal RNA
Rfam family: Bacterial small subunit ribosomal RNA
Source: RNAcentral
CAGCCGCCGCGGUAAUACGUAGGUCCCGAGCGUUGUCCGGAUUUAUUGGGCGUAAAGCGAGCGCAGGCGGUUAGAUAAGUCUGAAGUUAAAGGCUGUGGCUUAACCAUAGUACGCUUUGGAAACUGUUUAACUUGAGUGCAAGAGGGGAGAGUGGAAUUCCAUGUGUAGCGGUGAAAUGCGUAGAUAUGUGGAGGAACACCGGUGGCGAAAGCGGCUCUCCGGCUUGUAACUGACGCUGAGGCUCGAAAGCGUGGGGAGCAAACAGGAUUAGAUACCCCAGUAGUCCCUGUCUCUUAUACC